UAGGGAAUCUUGCGCAAUGGGCGAAAGCCUGACGCAGCGACGCCGCGUGAGCGAUGAAGGCCUUCGGGUUGUAAAGCUCUGUGGGGAGGGAAGAAUAAGGGCGAGCUAAUACCUCGCUCGAUGACGGUACCUCCUUAGCAAGCACCGGCUAACUCUGUGCCAGCAGCCGCGGUAAGACAGAGGGUGCAAACGUUGUUCGGAAUUACUGGGCGUAAAGCGCGUGUAGGCGGCUAAGCAAGUCGGGCGUGAAAUCCCACGGCUCAACCGUGGAAGUGCACCCGAAACUGCAUAGCUAGAGUCCUGGAGAGGAAGGUGGAAUGCUUGGUGUAGAGGUGAAAUUCGUAGAUAUCAAGCGGAACACCGGUGGCGAAGGCGGCCUUCUGGACAGUGACUGACGCUGAGACGCGAAAGCGUGGGGAGCAAACAGGAUUAGAUACCCCCGUAGUCC
This 448-nucleotide ribosomal RNA is filed under the name uncultured bacterium. RNAcentral describes it as "bacterial SSU rRNA". It matches the Rfam family "Bacterial small subunit ribosomal RNA", at positions 355 to 796 of the family's 1533-position model. The record is from RNAcentral.